GCACUCUUCGGCGGGCAGGCCAGCAUCAGUUUGGGCGGUUGGAUAAAGGUCUCUGUCACGUACCUCCUUUCGGGGAGGCCUUAUAGGGGAGGCGACAUGCAACCAGCCUGGACUGAGGUCUGCGCAUCUGCUAGGAUGCUGGCGUAAUGGCUGUAAGCGGCCCGUCUUGAAACACGGACCAAGGAGUCUAACAUCUAUGCGAGUGUUUGGGUGUCAAGCCCAAGCGCGCAAUGAAAGUGAACGGAGGUGGGAUCCCUUAAGGGUGCACCAUCGACCGAUCCUGAUGUCUUCGGAUGGAUUUGAGUAAGAGCAUGGCUGUUGGGACCCGAAAGAUGGUGAACUAUGCUUGAAUAGGGUGAAGCCAGAGGAAACUCUGGUGGAGGCUCGCAGCGGUUCUGACGUGCAAAUCGAUCGUCAAAUUUGGGCAUAGGGGCGAAAGACUAAUCGAACUAUCUAGUAGCUGGUUCCUGCCGAAGUUUCCCUCAGGAUAGCAGUAACGUUUUCAGUUUUAUGAGGUAAAGCGAAUGAUUAGAGGCAUGGGGGUUGAAACAACCUUCACCUAUUCUCAAACUUUAAAUAUGUAAGAAGUCCUUGUUACUUAAUUGAGCGUGGACACUUGAAUGUACCGUUACUAGUGGGCCAUUUUUGGUAAGCAGAACUGGCGAUGCGGGAUGAACCGAACGCGGGGUUAAGGUGCCAGAAUGCACGCUCAUCAGACACCACAAAAGGUGUUGGUUCAUCUAG
This 744-nucleotide ribosomal RNA is filed under the name uncultured Ascomycota. RNAcentral describes it as "LSU rRNA". It matches the Rfam family "Eukaryotic large subunit ribosomal RNA", at positions 477 to 1236 of the family's 3401-position model. The record is from RNAcentral. Lineage: Eukaryota; Fungi; Ascomycota.